RNAcentral lists this transfer RNA (93 nucleotides) under Herbiconiux flava. Its description in RNAcentral is "tRNA-Thr". The record is from RNAcentral. Lineage: Bacteria; Bacillati; Actinomycetota; Actinomycetes; Micrococcales; Microbacteriaceae.
CGGGCGCGGGCUCGCGAAGGCGAGGCCGUUGGGCUGGUAGCCCAGCUUGCGGGAGACCGCGAGCGAGGGCUCGUUCCAGUCGAAGGCCCCCGA